AUGACCUGGGAAUCUUAUUAAAAUGUGAAUUUUGAUUAAGAUCUGGGAUGGGGUCUGAGAUUCUGCAUUUCUAAGAAGCUCCCAGUUGAUGUCAAU
Molecule: microRNA precursor, 96 nt
Filed under: Choloepus hoffmanni (Hoffmann's two-fingered sloth)
Lineage: Eukaryota; Metazoa; Chordata; Mammalia; Pilosa; Megalonychidae
Description: miRNA (ENSCHOG00000015891.1)
Source: RNAcentral